GUAAAUAUAUUUUUGUACCUCCUCAGAGUUUUGUGUCAGAAUAUGGUGGUGUCGGGAGACCUACUGCAGCCCACUCACUUAUGUCACCCUGGCUAUGGCUCACACCUCCAAAGGCCUGCACUUCCAAACUGAGUCCUCCCCUACUGACCGAAAGCUGUCCCCUUGCCUCAGACUUAUAGAUUGCCUGAGGUGAGGAGAGGGGGAAUAAUAAAGGGAGAGCCUAUCGCAAGAGGAAAAGAAAACUAAAGACUCUACUAGGACAAAUAGUAAAUGAUUGGAAGACUCCAUUGCCAUCCUGUAAACGCCGAGCUACUUUCUGACACGUGUCAAAUACUUUCCCAGGAUUAUUUCAGGGGAGUUGUAACUUUACAAAUUUUGGUUUCUUCAAGCAAGAUGACCAAGAUUCGCUGAAGUAUAAGCAGCUUGGGGAUCUUAUCAGGCAGAAACUUCACUUGUGAUUCCUAAACCUGAAA
RNAcentral lists this long non-coding RNA (473 nucleotides) under Equus asinus (donkey). Its description in RNAcentral is "lncRNA (ENSEASG00005027783.1)". Lineage: Eukaryota; Metazoa; Chordata; Mammalia; Perissodactyla; Equidae. The record is from RNAcentral.